GAGUUUGAUCCUGGCUCAGGAUGAACGCUGGCGGCGUGCCUAAUACAUGCAAGUCGAGCGAACAGAUAAGGAGCUUGCUCCUUUGACGUUAGCGGCGGACGGGUGAGUAACACGUGGGUAACCUACCUAUAAGACUGGAAUAACUCCGGGAAACCGGGGCUAAUGCCGGAUAAUAUUUAGAACCGCAUGGUUCUAAAGUGAAAGAUGGUUUUGCUAUCACUUAUAGAUGGACCCGCGCCGUAUUAGCUAGUUGGUGGGGUAAUGGCUUACCAAGGCAACGAUACGUAGCCGACCUGAGAGGGUGAUCGGCCACACUGGAACUGAGACACGGUCCAGACUCCUACGGGAGGCAGCAGUAGGGAAUCUUCCGCAAUGGGCGAAAGCCUGACGGAGCAACGCCGCGUGAGUGAUGAAGGUCUUCGGAUCGUAAAACUCUGUUAUUAGGGAAGAACAAAUGUGUAAGUAACUGUGCACGUCUUGACGGU
RNAcentral lists this ribosomal RNA (485 nucleotides) under uncultured bacterium. RNAcentral describes it as "bacterial SSU rRNA". It matches the Rfam family "Bacterial small subunit ribosomal RNA", at positions 9 to 476 of the family's 1533-position model. The record is from RNAcentral.